GACGAACGCUGGCGGCGUGCCUAAUACAUGCAAGUCGAGCGGAGCUGCGCGGUUCCUUCGGGAAUGGCGCAGCUUAGCGGCGAACGGGUGAGUAACACGUAGGCAACCUGCCCGCAAGACCGGGAUAACUCGCGGAAACGUGAGCUAAUACCGGAUAAUCGGUUUCUCCGCAUGGAGGGAUCGUGAAAGGCGCUUUGGCGUCACUUGCGGAUGGGCCUGCGGCGCAUUAGCUAGUUGGCGGGGUAACGGCCCACCAAGGCGACGAUGCGUAGCCGGCCUGAGAGGGUGAACGGCCACACUGGGACUGAGACACGGCCCAGACUCCUACGGGAGGCAGCAGUAGGGAAUCUUCGGCAAUGGACGGAAGUCUGACCGAGCAACGCUGCGUGAGUGAGGAAGGCCUUCGGGUCGUAAAGCUCUGUUGCCAGGGAAGAACGCCGAGGGGAGGGAAUGCCCCUCGGGUGACGGUACCUGAGAAGAAAGCCCCGGCUAACUAC
Molecule: ribosomal RNA, 497 nt
Filed under: uncultured Bacillota bacterium
Lineage: Bacteria; Bacillati; Bacillota
Description: bacterial SSU rRNA
Rfam family: Bacterial small subunit ribosomal RNA
Source: RNAcentral